CUACGUGCCAGCAGCCGCGGUAAUACGUAGGGGGCAAGCGUUAUCCGGAAUAACUGGGCGUAAAGGGUGCGCAGGUGGUUUAACAAGUUAGUGGUGAAAGGCAUAGGCUCAACCAAUGUAAGCCAUUAAAACUGUUUAACUUGAGUGCAGGAGAGGAAAGUGGAAUUCCUAGUGUAGCGGUGAAAUGCGUAGAUAUUAGGAGGAAUACCAGUGGCGAAGGCGACUUUCUGGACUGCAACUGACACUGAGGCACGAAAGCGUGGGGAGCAAACAGGAUUAGAUACCCUGGUAGUCCACGCCGUAAACGAUGAGUACUAGGUGUCGGGUGAAGAACUCGGUGCCGAAGUUAACACAUUAAGUACUCCGCCUGGGGAGUACGCUCGCAAGAGUAAAACUCAAAGGAAUUGACGGGGACCCGCACAAGCAGCGGAGCAUGUGGUUUAAUUCGAAGCAACGCGCAGAACCUUACCUAAACUUGACAUCCAGAGAACAUUC
RNAcentral lists this ribosomal RNA (495 nucleotides) under uncultured bacterium. RNAcentral's name for it is "bacterial SSU rRNA". It matches the Rfam family "Bacterial small subunit ribosomal RNA", at positions 501 to 1000 of the family's 1533-position model. The record is from RNAcentral.